UUAUAAUUUUACCUCUAAUUAUUAAAAACCCCAAUUACCCAAUUAAACGUUUAAUUGCUUCAACCCACUAUAUUAUAUUAUAAAAACAGGUUACCCGAUAUUUUAAUCGUAACAAAUUGCAAUAUUUAUUUCAGGCCAAUUAUAAUCAAAUCCCAAAUAUUAAAAUUCCAAUUACCAAUUAAACGUUUAAUUAUUUUAACCCACAAUAGCCUAAUUUUUAAAAACAGGUUCCCCCGAUAUUUAAAUUGUAACUUUAUUUCCAUAUAUUUUAACGUCCGUAAAUAUUUUAAAGGCGAUUCCAGUUAAAUUGCGAAAUAUAAAGGAAAAAUUUACCUGGGUAAAUUAAAAUUGAAAAUUUUUAUAAUACCAUUUCCAUUUAACGUAUAUAGCAGUUUAAUAAUAUAUAUCCAAUGGGCAUUUUUGCGUUAUAUAAUUUCGGUUUUCCUCGUUUUGUUUACCCUACCUGUUAAUAAGGCGCCAUUAUCGACGAAAAUUUGCAAAAUCUCUUGGUGGCCUCCUAAUAAAGCGGUUUGGAGAGCGUUACCGUAUUCGCCGCCCUAAAUAUUAACGCCCGCACCGUUAUUUAACACUUUUUCCACAAUUUAAAAUACGUUUCCCCCAGCCAUAUAAUAAAAUAAAGGAGUUAUAAUUUUUUCAAAAUUGUUAAAAUUUCCUUUAUCCUAUAGUCUGUCGGGAUUGUAAAAGCUAAAACAAAUUUAAUAACAUCUUUUAUUUUAAACGAAUUCCCAAACAAAAUUCCUAAUUCCGUUUAUAUUUGGUCCAGGUUAAGCGUGGCCUAUCCAAUAUCGUGCAACGUAUUAUACUAGGGGCCAAUUUCGUAAUUUUACCGCUAUAAGAUCGUGGUUUAGGUCCAGCAAAUAUACCAGGCAGAUUUCCGCCAUAUAUUGCCUAAUAAACCUUUUUUCAAAAUAUAAUAAUAUAUUGCUUUCCAAUCGAUCCGAUAUAAAGUAUUUUUUUAUUGAAAAAUGCGCAAAUUGUAGCUUUUUUUUUAUAUUCCCGUCCCCGUCGGUUUUAUUAAAUAUAAUUACCAAAUUCGAAUAAUAUAUAGAAAUUUCGUUUGGUUCGGGCAUUUUAUAAUUGGCGUUAAAUUUUGGCUUUUUUUCCAAAUCGACGGCGUUUAUAUCGAUAGCCUUUUCAAAUAAUAAUAAUCGCUCGGAAAACGUAAGGAAUUGCAAAAGUUUUGUCGCGUUGCGCUCGUAAUCCGGCGGGAUUUUUCUCAAAAUACGUGCGUAUAUUUCGUCCAGCGUUUUUGGUAGCGUUUUGAACGCCGUUCGAAGAUUAAUAGGAUUAGGACAAUUUUCCAAAAAGUCGAAUUGGCACAAAACCUAUCGAAACCUGCAUUCCAAUUUAAUAAUAUAUUUUAGGUAAUUAAAUAAGGGUUUGUUUUUACAUUUUAUUGGCCUUUUUUAUUAAAUAAAUUUCGAUUUUUUGCUAAAUAUCCUUUCGUUUUUACCAUCGUUUUAAUUUUUCGUAAUAUUUUACCCUUUUAUAAAUAUACGCGCAAAUAUUUCCUGCGACCAAAUUGUUUUAUAUAAGUAUUCGAUGGUCCACGAAUUUAUUUAAAAUUAAUUCGAUAUUUCGUUUUGGACGAUUCGUAAAUAAAAAAUAAAUAUUUGCUCGUAAACCUUUCAAAAAUUCCUUAAUCCAAAACAGCAACCUUUCGUUUUUUAUAUUUUUUUUUAUUUGGUAUUUGUCGAAUACGUCCAAUAUAAUUCAAAUUUCGCCAAUAUGCUAAGCCAUUUUUUCCAAAAUUUCGUUUAACAAAUUAACGGUGGGUAUUUGCGACCCAUUUUCGUAAAAGAAGUAAAACGAAUAUAAAUACCCCUGGUAAACGCUCGGGUUUUUUUGGUAUAAUUGGUAUAUAAACGACCGAAUCGCAUUUUCGAAUAAUUGUUUGCUGGUAUCGUUAAAAUUAAAAUAAAAAUAAAUAAAAUUGUCGGAAUAAAACCUGGUAUGGCGCAAAUCGUCGAUAAUGGUCGAAUUAAAAAUUAUUUUACCACAACCGGGAAUAUUAUAAAACCAUAAAAAAAAUUUUGGCGUUAUUUUCCAUUGCAAAUAUUUUUCGUUUUUCAAAAACUAUUGGCCUAUAUUUUUAUAACGUUGUUCCAAAGUUUUUUUGUCGUUUGUCGAUAUAUUUGGCGGGGCGAACCAUUUAAUAAUUUCCUGAAAAUGCUGGUUUUGGUGCAAUUCUUUUACGGUGGAAUGGGUUUGCAAAACGGAUUUAUAUAUUGUAAAUUAUAUAAAUUUAAACAUUAAACCUAAUAUAAAUAUAUAUAACCCGGAUUACUUUUCAAAACGCGUUUAUUUCCAACCUAAAUUAUAACGUUAACGUUA
RNAcentral lists this small RNA (2355 nucleotides) under Pyricularia oryzae. RNAcentral's name for it is "Magnaporthe oryzae sRNA M_BR32_EuGene_00102481". Lineage: Eukaryota; Fungi; Ascomycota; Sordariomycetes; Magnaporthales; Pyriculariaceae. The record is from RNAcentral.